Molecule: ribosomal RNA, 481 nt
Filed under: uncultured bacterium
Lineage: Bacteria
Description: partial 16S ribosomal RNA
Rfam family: Bacterial small subunit ribosomal RNA
Source: RNAcentral
GACGAACGCUGGAGGCGUGCUUAACACAUGCAAGUCGAACGAUGAAAUGGAGCUUGCUCCAUGGAUUAGUGGCGAACGGGUGAGUAACACGUGAAUAACCUGCCCUUAAUUUUGGAAUAACCCAGGAAACCUGGGCUAAUACCGGAUAAGUAAACCUGUGGCAUCACAUGGUUUUGGAAAGUUUUUCGAUUAAGGAUGGAUUCGCGGCCUAUCAGCUUGUUGGUGAGGUAAUGGCUCACCAAGGCGACGACGGGUAGCCGGCCUGAGAGGGUGAACGGCCACACUGGGACUGAGACACAGCCCAGACUCCUACGGGAGGCAGCAGUGGGGAAUAUUGCGCAAUGGGCGAAAGUCUGACGCAGCGACGCCUCGUGAAGGACGAAGGUCUUCGGAUUGUAAACCUCUUUCAGCAGGGACGAAGCGAAAGUGACGGUACCUGCAGAAGAAGCACCGGCUAACUAUGUGCCAGCCGCCGCGGUAA